Long non-coding RNA from Chlorocebus sabaeus (green monkey), 552 nucleotides. RefSeq lists it as uncharacterized. The record is from RefSeq and is a predicted model, not a curated record. NCBI's taxonomy places the organism in Eukaryota, Metazoa, Chordata, Mammalia, Primates, Cercopithecidae.
CAGGCAGGAAGCCUGGCUCCACUAGGACACACAGAUUCUCUCCUGAGCAGCUGUGAACUAUGCGCCCCUUCUACCCUUAAGAGAUGGAUUGGGAGUCCAACAAACGCAGCCAUUGCUCAGACCCCAGCCCUUCUCUCCUGUAAGAAGCAGGUUCACCUCUGCCACCGCACUCGCAAUUUUUUUUUUUUUAAGCCCGGCCUUUCCUAGGCGGGGUCAAGGGCCCCGCCCACCGAAGCCACGCCCAUAGCCGCCCCGGGGCGGGGCUCCCCUCGGCUCCCGGCUGCCCUUUCCCCUCCGGCCUCUGCCUGUGCUGCUGCGCCCUGCGGAGCUCCGAACACGUGCGCAGGCCAGCUGUGGCAGAUGCAACUGCAGGAUGACUUGAAAGUAGGGCAUCCUUCACCCAUCUGAAGAGAGGAAAUAGUGGCAGGUGACAGUCUGCACGUGCAGUUUUCAGAUGCCUUCACCUGAAUAUCAUCUACCCCCAUCACGACCCCAGAUGUCUGACAGCCCUGUGUGACACCAAGAUAAGUAAUAUAUGUAGUCUUCUUGUCA